RNAcentral lists this ribosomal RNA (465 nucleotides) under uncultured bacterium. Its description in RNAcentral is "partial 16S ribosomal RNA". It matches the Rfam family "Bacterial small subunit ribosomal RNA", at positions 339 to 795 of the family's 1533-position model. The record is from RNAcentral.
CUACGGGCGGCAGCAGUGAGGAAUUUUGCGCAAUGGGGGGAACCCUGACGCAGCAACGCCGCGUGAGUGAUGAAGGCUUUCGGGUCGUAAAGCUCUGUCAAGUGGGAAGAACCUAUGCAGGGUUAAUAUCACUGUAUACUGACGGUACCACUGAAGGAAGCACCGGCUAACUCCGUGCCAGCAGCCGCGGUAAUACGGGGGGUGCAAGCGUUAUUCGGAAUCAUUGGGCGUAAAGGGCACGUAGGCGGCUUGGUAAGUCAGAUGUGAAAGCCCGGGGCUUAACCCCGGAAGUGCAUUUGAUACUGUCAGGCUUGAGUAUGGGAGAGGGAGGUGGAAUUCCUGGUGUAGAGGUGAAAUUCGUAGAUAUCAGGAGGAACACCGGUGGCGAAGGCGACUUCCUGGACCAAUACUGACGCUGAGGUGCGAAGGCGUGGGUAGCAAACAGGAUUAGAUACCCCAGUAGUC